ACUAUCUCCUCCCUCCUCAGCAUAUUCAUACAUAUCAUUAGAAAUGGGCUCUAAUGUGACACCUUCACUCUUUAUAGACAUGCUAUUAUUGUCAACAGAGGCCACAAUAUUAUCUUUGACACUGCAACCAGAAAUUGUUAGCUUCUCUUUCAUGAUGACAGAUUCCUUCACAUCCAACCUCCCAGAUCUAUCCUUUUCCUUCACAUCAUCAUAAACUUCUGCCAAGUCACUUGUAGACUGUGUCAUCGUUUUUGAAAUAGUAUUCGCAGAAGUAACAACUGGCAGGGUAGCAACUGUAUUAGUGACAUCAUUUUGCUCUUCAAAGUAUUUGUAUCCCACCA
RNAcentral lists this unclassified non-coding RNA (341 nucleotides) under Hevea brasiliensis (rubber tree). The record is from RNAcentral. Lineage: Eukaryota; Viridiplantae; Streptophyta; Magnoliopsida; Malpighiales; Euphorbiaceae.